Long non-coding RNA from Populus euphratica (Euphrates poplar), 145 nucleotides. RefSeq lists it as uncharacterized. The transcript is spliced from 2 exons. Lineage: Eukaryota; Viridiplantae; Streptophyta; Magnoliopsida; Malpighiales; Salicaceae. The record is from RefSeq and is a predicted model, not a curated record.
UGUCACUCAAAAACCCUUAUUAGCAAUCGAUUUUUUAUUUAUUUUUCUAAAAAGGAACAGGGGGGGAAGAGAGAGAGAGAGGUGGCUUUUUUUGAGAGAAAAGGAAAAGGGAAAGUAAUGAUUUGGAGUUGGGCACACCACAGUC